UUGAACGCUGGCGGCGGCUUACACAUGCAAGUCGAGCGGGCGAGGUUGCUUCGGUAACUGAGCUAGCGGCGGACGGGUGAGUAAUGCUUAGGAAUCUGCCUAUUAGUGGGGGACAACAUUCCGAAAGGAAUGCUAAUACCGCAUACGCCCUACGGGGGAAAGCAGGGGAUCUUCGGACCUUGCGCUAAUAGAUGAGCCUAAGUCAGAUUAGCUAGUUGGUGGGGUAAAGGCCUACCAAGGCGACGAUCUGUAGCGGGUCUGAGAGGAUGAUCCGCCACACUGGGACUGAGACACGGCCCAGACUCCUACGGGAGGCAGCAGUGGGGAAUAUUGGACAAUGGGCGCAAGCCUGAUCCAGCCAUGCCGCGUGUGUGAAGAAGGCCUUUUGGUUGUAAAGCACUUUAAGCGAGGAGGAGGCUACUUGGAUUAAUACUCUAGGAUAGUGGACGUUACUCGCAGAAUAAGCACCGGCUAACUCUGUGCCAGCAGCCGCGGUAAUACAGAGGGUGCGAGCGUUAAUCGGAUUUACUGGGCGUAAAGCGUGCGUAGGCGGCUUCUUAAGUCGGAUGUGAAAUCCCUGAGCUUAACUUAGGAAUUGCAUUCGAUACUGGGAAGCUAAAGUAUGGGAAAGGAUGGUAGAAUUCCAGGUGUACCGGUGAAAUGCGUAGAGAUCUGGAGGAAUACCGAUGGCGAAGGCAGCCAUCUGGCCUAAUACUGACGCUGAGGUACGAAAGCAUGGGGAGC
RNAcentral lists this ribosomal RNA (744 nucleotides) under uncultured Pseudomonadota bacterium. RNAcentral describes it as "bacterial SSU rRNA". It matches the Rfam family "Bacterial small subunit ribosomal RNA", at positions 29 to 769 of the family's 1533-position model. The record is from RNAcentral. Lineage: Bacteria; Pseudomonadati; Pseudomonadota.